UACGUAGGUGGCAAGCGUUAUCCGGAUUUACUGGGUGUAAAGGGAGCGUAGACGGCAGCGCAAGUCUGGAGUGAAAUGCCGGGGCCCAACCCCGGAACUGCUUUGGAAACUGUGCGGCUUGAGUGCGGGAGAGGUAAGCGGAAUUCCUAGUGUAGCGGUGAAAUGCGUAGAUAUUAGGAGGAACACCAGUGGCGAAGGCGGCUUACUGGACCGUAACUGACGUUGAGGCUCGAAAGCGUGGGGAGCAAACAGG
Molecule: ribosomal RNA, 253 nt
Filed under: uncultured bacterium
Lineage: Bacteria
Description: partial 16S ribosomal RNA
Rfam family: Bacterial small subunit ribosomal RNA
Source: RNAcentral